Non-coding RNA from Phasianus colchicus (ring-necked pheasant), 353 nucleotides. Lineage: Eukaryota; Metazoa; Chordata; Aves; Galliformes; Phasianidae. The record is from RefSeq and is a predicted model, not a curated record.
UCUUUAAAAGAUAUAAUUGUUAGGUGAGAAGAUGAAAAAUUCACUGUACUCUGCAGAGAAGAAAGACAGUUUUCUUUGUAUGAAUGGCAGAACAGCUCCAUGGCAAGACUUGUAGGAUGAGCUGCAUUUAAGCUACAGCCAACAGUACCUCCUUGCAGGUCCACGCACUGGAGGUAACCGAGGUCCUUGCUGUGAAGAAAGGGGAAUAGAGAUGCAAGGGAAUGAUGGAGCUGAAAAGAAGUACAAUAAGAGACUUUGGCAAACUUUUUUCACAGGACAAUGAUUAAUCAGUUUGCUCUCUUCUAUUUAUGAAUCAUCUGGAAGUGGGCUUUGCCACAGCGUAUGCUCGAUCU